AUACGGGGGGUGCAAGCGUUAAUGGGAAUUACUGGGCGUAAAGCGCGCGUAGGCGGUUUGCUCAGUCGGAUGUGAAAGCCCAGGGCUCAACCUUGGAACUGCAUACGAUACUGGCAAACUAGAGUGUGAGAGAGGAUAGUGGAAUUUCCGGUGUAGCGGUGAAAUGCGUAGAUAUCGGAAGGAACAUCAGUGGCGAAGGCGACUGUCUGGCUCAACACUGACGCUGAGGUGCGAAAGUGUGGGUAGCAAACAGGAUUAGAAACCCUAGUAGUCC
RNAcentral lists this ribosomal RNA (274 nucleotides) under uncultured bacterium. Its description in RNAcentral is "partial 16S ribosomal RNA". It matches the Rfam family "Bacterial small subunit ribosomal RNA", at positions 523 to 796 of the family's 1533-position model. The record is from RNAcentral.